This 404-nucleotide ribosomal RNA is filed under the name Verrucomicrobiota bacterium. RNAcentral describes it as "Verrucomicrobia bacterium partial 16S ribosomal RNA". It matches the Rfam family "Bacterial small subunit ribosomal RNA", at positions 355 to 776 of the family's 1533-position model. Lineage: Bacteria; Pseudomonadati; Verrucomicrobiota. The record is from RNAcentral.
UGGGGAAUAUUGCACAAUGGAGGGAACUCUGAUGCAGCGACGCCGCGUGAACGAAGAAGGCUUUCGAGUCGUAAAGUUCUUUUAUAUGGGAAGAUAAUGACGGUACCAUAAGAAAAAGCCCCGGCUAACUACGUGCCAGCAGCCGCGGUAAUACGUAGGGGGCUAGCGUUGUCCGGAAUCACUGGGCGUAAAGGGUUCGCAGGCGGAAUAACAAGUCAGAUGUGAAAGGCAUGGGCUCAACCCAUGUAAGCAUUUGAAACUGUAAUUCUUGAGAAGUGGAGAGGUAAGUGGAAUUCCUAGUGUAGCGGUGAAAUGCGUAGAUAGUAGGAGGAAUACCUGUGGCGAAGGCGACUUACUGGACAAAAAUCUGACGCUGAGGAACGAAAGCGUGGGUAGCAAACAGG